Molecule: ribosomal RNA, 253 nt
Filed under: uncultured bacterium
Lineage: Bacteria
Description: partial 16S ribosomal RNA
Rfam family: Bacterial small subunit ribosomal RNA
Source: RNAcentral
UACGUAGGGUGCGAGCGUUAAUCGGAUUUACUGGGCGUGAAGCGUGCGCAGGCGGCCCGUUAAGACAGGUGUGAAAUCCCUGGGCUCAACCUAGGAAUUGCGCUUGUGACUGGCGGGCUUGAGUACGGUAGAGGGGGGUGGAAUUCCUGGUGUAGCAGUGAAAUGCGUCGAGAUCAGGAGGAACACCGAUGGCGAAGGCAGCCCCCUGGGCCUGUACUGACGCUCAUGCACGCAAGCGUGGGGAGCAAACAGG